Molecule: non-coding RNA, 173 nt
Filed under: Caldibacillus debilis GB1
Lineage: Bacteria; Bacillati; Bacillota; Bacilli; Caryophanales; Bacillaceae
Description: glmS glucosamine-6-phosphate activated ribozyme aptamer
Rfam family: glmS glucosamine-6-phosphate activated ribozyme aptamer
About the family: This entry contains a glucosamine-6-phosphate activated ribozyme that is found in the mRNA for GlmS. GlmS is an enzyme that uses fructose-6-phosphate and glutamine to generate glucosamine-6-phosphate.
Source: Rfam by way of RNAcentral
UCAUUUUUUCAAGCGCCAGAACUAGGCCCUGGGACGUGCGGGGGCUUAGUUGACGAGGUGGAGGUUUAUCGAGGUGUUCGGCGGAUGCCUCCCGGCUGUGCACACGCAGUCGAGAGCCAUCUUCCCAAAACAUUAAGGCGACUUAAUGGACAAAGGAAGAUGGAAGGUGUGCG